RNAcentral lists this ribosomal RNA (440 nucleotides) under uncultured bacterium. Its description in RNAcentral is "partial 16S ribosomal RNA". It matches the Rfam family "Bacterial small subunit ribosomal RNA", at positions 338 to 795 of the family's 1533-position model. The record is from RNAcentral.
CCUACGUGAGGCAGCAGUGGGGGAUAUUGCACAAUGGGGGGAACCCUGAUGCAGCGACGCCGCGUGGGUGAAGAAGCGCCUCGGCGCGUAAAGCCCUGUCAGCAGGGAAGAAAAUGACGGUACCUGAAGAAGAAGCCCCGGCUAACUACGUGCCAGCAGCCGCGGUAAUACGUAGGGGGCAAGCGUUAUCCGGAUUUACUGGGUGUAAAGGGGGCGCAGACGGCGAUGCAAGCCAGGAGUGAAAGCCCGGGGCCCAACCCCGGGACUGCUCUUGGAACUGCGUGGCUGGAGUGCAGGAGGGGCAGGCGGAAUUCCUGGUGUAGCGGUGAAAUGCGUAGAUAUCAGGAGGAACACCGGUGGCGAAGGCGGCUUACUGGACAGUAACUGACGUUGAGGCUCGAAAGCGUGGGGAGCAAACAGGAUUAGAUACCCGGGUAGUC